GAGGGUGAGAGGCAUAUUUCAAAAACAGAGCAACAGCCAGAAUGGCUGGGAGUGACUGAGGCAGACAGAGGAAGCUAACAAAUUAGAAGCCGGAUCCAAAGCCAAAAUUCUCACCCACCGUAAGAAGAAAUGUCUCAAAAGAAUCUCCUCCGCAUCAGUUCCCCGUCCGCACCUCAUCCCUUCUCUGUCCUGGUGAAUUAUUGCUCACUCCACCUGGGCAUCAUCAAAUUGAAUGAUUGUUCUGUGUUUCUUCUGGAAAGGGGGGAAAGGCUGUGAGGUCUGGAGAAGGCUGGUGGGAGAAACGUCUAGACAAAGGGCACAGGAAGCCAGAGCCUUGGCUGUCACACUGAAUCAUCACGUCGACUGCUUGACAGGAACUGUGUUAUAAUACAGUCACACCCCUUCCUCAAUAUCCCCAAGCUGCAGGCUGACACCCUAGAGGAGAUAUAAGGUAAAAUAGCUGUUGGAAUUAUGAUAGAACAUGAAACAAAUCAA
Molecule: long non-coding RNA, 495 nt
Organism: Hyaena hyaena (striped hyena)
Lineage: Eukaryota; Metazoa; Chordata; Mammalia; Carnivora; Hyaenidae
Exons: 3
Source: RefSeq, a predicted model, not a curated record